GUGCUCACUUCAGCAGCACAUAUACCAAAACUGGAAUGAUGCAGAGAAGAUUAGCAUGUCUCCUGACCAAGGAUGGCACACAGAUUUGUGAAGCAUUCCUUGCAGAU
Molecule: small nuclear RNA, 107 nt
Filed under: Salvator merianae (Argentine black and white tegu)
Lineage: Eukaryota; Metazoa; Chordata; Lepidosauria; Squamata; Teiidae
Source: RNAcentral